GAAUCUGCAUGCCUACCCACUUCCUAGGUGACACUGGUGGGCCUAGAAUUAGAAACACUUUAGAAACAACUCUCCUCAGCAAUAAAGAUAUUCAGAUUUCCUGCCUUUGUCCCCAGAGUUAUUAUGGAACAGUUGUGGGGAAGGUCUUCAAGUUCAAAUGUUCUGGAAGUGUGAGGUUUUGAGAGCAGUGGCUGAUUCAGGCCAGCGAGAGUCCCCCACCUUGCAGACUUUUGUGGAUUUAGGAUGAGAGCCGGUGCCUUAUUUAUCUUUAUACCGUGGAUCUGAGUGCCAAGAAGAGUGCCUGCACAUACCAAGUUCUUAGUGAAAGCUUGUGAAAUUAAUGUUGAUGGCGUUUUUUGGAUCAGCGUGCCUUUCAGAAGGGAGAUAAAUUAGAUUCUCUAAAGGAAGCUGCAGUGUUGUGGCCGAGUCCUGGCAUGAAGUCAGGAGAACAAGGUCAAAUUCUAAAUUUUCCACUUGAAAAUCAACUGACCUUGGGCAAAUCAUUUAACUAGAUUAUUGAGUCUCAACUGGGGGUGAUUUUUGUUUCCUUGAGGCAUUUAGUAAUGUCUGGCAAGAUUUUUGGCAUCCCAACUGGGGGUGAAGGUAGAAGUGAGGAGUGCUGUUGAUACAAGUGGGCCAGGGAUAUGGCAAGA
Long non-coding RNA from Talpa occidentalis (Iberian mole), 653 nucleotides. RefSeq lists it as uncharacterized. Lineage: Eukaryota; Metazoa; Chordata; Mammalia; Eulipotyphla; Talpidae. The transcript has 4 exons. The record is from RefSeq and is a predicted model, not a curated record.